Molecule: non-coding RNA, 197 nt
Filed under: Peribacillus psychrosaccharolyticus
Lineage: Bacteria; Bacillati; Bacillota; Bacilli; Caryophanales; Bacillaceae
Description: Bacillus psychrosaccharolyticus 6S / SsrS RNA
Rfam family: 6S / SsrS RNA
About the family: E. coli 6S RNA was the first non coding RNA to be sequenced, but its function was unknown until recently. It consists of 184 nucleotides that fold into an extended hairpin structure with a large single-stranded internal bulge. The 6S RNA specifically associates with RNA polymerase holoenzyme containing the sigma70 specificity factor.
Source: Rfam by way of RNAcentral
UACAAGCUGCGUUGUACGUAACGAUAAUUAAGUUUUAACCUUUAAGUUGUAACAGGGAGUUUUAUUAUCAAAGCAGGAAUGUCAGGCCUCUACAGUAAAUGUACUGAGGACAUACAGGAUUGCUUUUGCGAGCACCCACUUUUUGACAAAGUGGUCUAAAACUUUCUUACACUAUUUACGGCAAAGGCGGCUUCUAC